GAAUAAAGGUAUAAAUAUGACUUUAUAGCCAAAAUUCAUUUAGGGUUUUCUUUUGGGGAAAGGAUGCGAACAUAAGCUCUCCUUUCUCUCUAAAGUGGCCGGCCUCCUUGGAGGGUUUAGCUAGCAAUCAUACUACUCCAAGGUCACUCAUUUCUUCUCCAAUCUAACCUUGGUGAAAAGACUUAGAGGUUCUCAAUUUUGGGAACUUGGAGAACCAUUUCAUCCAUCCAAAUCCAUAGAUCUAAGAUGCAA
This 252-nucleotide long non-coding RNA is filed under the name Malus domestica (apple). RNAcentral's name for it is "long non-coding RNA (MDOM_LNC020965)". Lineage: Eukaryota; Viridiplantae; Streptophyta; Magnoliopsida; Rosales; Rosaceae. The record is from RNAcentral.